CCUACGGGAGGCAGCAGUGGGGAAUAUUGCGCAAUGGGCGAAAGCCUGACGCAGCGUGAGUGAAGAAGGGUUUCGGCUCGUAAAGCUCUGUUGGUAGUGAAGAAAGAUAGAGGUAGGAACUGGCCUUUAUUUGACGGUAAUUACUUAGAACGUCACGGCUAACUACGUGCCAGCAGCCGCGGUAAUACGUUUGUGGCAAGCGUUGUCCGGAUUUCUUGGGCGUAAAGCGAGUGCAGGCGGUUCAAGAAGUCUGAUGUGAAAGCCUUCGGCUCAACCGGAGAAUUGCAUCAGAAACUGUUGAACUUGAGUGCAGAAGAGGAGAGUGGAACUCCAUGUGUAGCGGUGGAAUGCGUAGAUAUAUGGAAGAACACCAGUGGCGAAGGCGGCUCUCUGGUCUGCAACUGACGCUGAGGCUCGAAAGCAUGGGUAGCGAACAGGAUUAGAUACCCGUGUAGUC
This 457-nucleotide ribosomal RNA is filed under the name uncultured bacterium. Its description in RNAcentral is "partial 16S ribosomal RNA". It matches the Rfam family "Bacterial small subunit ribosomal RNA", at positions 338 to 795 of the family's 1533-position model. The record is from RNAcentral.